GAACAAACAUUAGUUCUAAGACAUAGAAGACUCGCCUUCCAUGAAGUUCCCUUUGUCCUCCCCUUUCACGUCUGUUGCCUUGUGGUCAAAGGUGCUGACUCAAAGAUGCAUUUCGUGUAGCACCGGCCAAAUGUCGAUCUCACUAUUAUGUAAGAUUACUUUUUUUUUUAUAAAUGUGAACGUGGCAUAAUAAGCUAUUGUAGAGAGGUUGCCAACUAAUGUUUACUUGGCAUUUUACUCAACCGAGUGACUGACGUGUUACUACCAAAUUUGUACAAGUUUUAACGGUGGGUGAGUGAGUGGGUUUGAAGUGAUUUAUCAUUUACGGAGUGUCGGUGUGCUGAUGAUCGGCUCCUCUCCUCAGGCGAACAUUCCGGUUUGUUGUUUAUUGGGUGAAGGCUACGUACAUUAAAUUUAUUGCAGAAAAUGGCAAAACAUUCUGCUGAUGAUGACGAUGAUGUAAAUUGGAAUACAGAUGAUGAAAUUGAUAACUUCCAAUCGUCCCCUAGAAACAUACUUCAUAUGGAUGAGACGGUUGCUAAGUUUAUUGAGAUGGGAUUCUCGAUGGAAAUGAUCGGUAGAGCGAUUGAAGAAACCGGCGGAGAAAAUCCAGAACCUAUGAUGAUUCUUGAAACUCUCUUCAAGCUUUCUACAAGCUCUGAAGCUAGCUCAUCUAAAUCUAAGGUCAUAGACGAGCUCAUUGGUAUGGGUUUCUCCGAGGAAUUAGUGAUCAAAGCUAUACAAGAACAUGGAGAAAAAAAUCUUGAGGAGAUAACAAAUGCACUUCUGAGUUAUGCAGAGGCAGAGAAAAUGCAUGAAACAGAAAAUGAGGACAUCAACAAUAACUACUUAUCAGAUGAUAAUGAUGACACCAAUCUUUACUCAGGUCUAUCAUCCUCAGAUGAAGAGAAUGAGUUAAACUCUUUUCAUGGAGAUGGUAGAUUGCAAGAUUUGAUCAAAAUGGGCUAUCCAAGGAAAGAGGCUUCUAUAGCUCUAGAGAGAUGUGGAGAAAUUGCAAGUUUGGCAGAGGUUGUUGACUUCAUUUUUGCUGCUCAAAUGGCACGGCAACUAGAUGAGUUUUGGGCAGCUCCUGAUGAACAAGAGCAGCUAAGAAUUAAUGAGCCACCACCAAGAAGGAGAAGGCUGAACACUGAUAUUGCCAGUGAUGACGAGCUCAUCCGUCUACCAAAUCCAAUGAUUGGAUUUGGUGUACCUAAGGAACCUGGAAUUAUAACUGAGAGGCCAGUCCCAAUCCCUAGUAUUGCUCGUGGUCCGCCCUAUUUUUACUACGAGAAUGUUGCAAUGACACCCAAAGGUGUUUGGGCCAAGAUGUCUAGUCAUCUGUAUGACAUCAAACCCGAAUUUGUGGACUCCUUGUACUUUUGUGCUGCUGCGAGGAAGAGAGGUUACAUUCACAACCUUCCAAUCAAGAACAGAUUUGAGAUACAACCCACACCACAUUAUACCAUACAAGAAGAGUUUCCUUUGACCAAGAAAUGGUGGCCUGCUUGGGAUAAAAGAACGAAGUUGAACUGUGUGUUGACUUGCAUCGCCAGUGCUCAGCUCACAAACAAAAUACGCAAGCGUCUUGAAAAACAUGAAAGGGAUCCAGCUGUGCAGAAAGAUGUAGUAGAUCAAUGCAAAAAAUGGAACCUGGUUUGGGUUGGUAAGAACAAAGCUGCCCCUCUGGAACCAUACGAGAUGGAAAGGCUUCUAGGUUUCCCAAAUAAUCAUACUCGUGGUAUAAGCAGAAAGGAUCGCUACAAGUCUCUAGGCAACUCAUUUCAGGUUGAUACUGUUGCCUAUCACUUGUCUGUACUUAAGCCAUUGUACCCAAAAGGCAUAAACGUCUUGUCACUCUUCACUGGCAUAGGCGGUGGAGAAGUAGCACUUCACCGUCUUCAAAUACCAAUGAAGCUAGUUGUGUCUGUUGAGAUAUCAGAAGUCAACAGGAACAUAUUCCGGAGUUUUUGGGAGCAGACAAAUCAAAGGGGUGAUCUGAUAGAGUUUAGAGAUGUUGAAGAGCUUGACGACCAUAAGAUAGAGGGACUUAUGGACCAGUACGGAGGGUUUGACCUUGUUAUAGGCGGUAGCCCCUGUAACAAUCUAGCUGGAGCUAAUAGGGUUAGUAGGACUGGACUUGAAGGAGACCAGUCAUCACUGUUCUAUGACUACUGCCGGAUUCUAGAGGCUGUUCGCAGCAAAGCCUCAAGAAUGAGGAGGUAGAAUAUCUCUUGUGUAGUGUAGAUCACUUUUUUUUUUGCAUGAGUUGCGUUCAAACUUGUAUGUUGCAUGCAGCUUUUUUUUUGUGCCUCUCUAAGAUAUCAAGAAUACUUUAUUUUUAACCAUACUAAACUUUAAGGUUUUUCUUUCACUUGCUAGAGCUCCUUUCACGCCAUAAAGUUGGCCAUCUCUAUUGUUGUUGAUUUGUCUUUUAUUAACAAUAUGAAGUUAAAGAUUUACAAUAACCGAUCAAAGUAGAUUCCUGUUGUAUCUGUUAUAUCUGUAUGUGUCUUUUCACUACAAAAAAAACACGCCACAUUCCGACGGACACCAUUGUGAAAAAUAUGUUCUCAUUGGUGAAAAGCAGAAGGGAUCGCUACAAGUCUCUAGGCAACUCAUUUCAGGUUGAUACUGUUGCCUAUCACUUGUAUGUACUUAGACCUUUGUACCCAAAAGGCAUAAACCUCUUGUCGAUCACUCUUCACAGGGAUAGGCGGUGGAGAAGUGACACUUCACCGCCUCCAGAUUCCUAUGAAGCUAGUUGUAUCCGUUGAGAUUUCUGAAGUGAACAAGAACAUAUUCAGGAGUUUUUGGGAGCAGACAAAUCAAAGGGGCGUUCUGAUCGAGUUUACAGAUGUUGACGAACUAGACGAUCAAAAGAUAGAGAGACUUAUGGACCAGUAUGGUGGGUUUGACCUUGUUAUAGGCGGUAGCCCCUGUAACAAUCUAGCUGGAGCUAAUGGGUUAGUAGGAGCGGACUUGAAGGAGACCAGUCAUCACUGUUCUAUGACUACUGCCGGAUUCUAGAGGCGGUUCGCCGCAAAACCACAAGAAUGAGAAGGUAGAGUGUCUCUUGUGUAGAUGACUUUUUUUUUUUUGCAUGAGACUUGUAUGUUGCAGCUUCAAACCAUACUAAACCAGUAUGUUGAUUUGUCUUUUAUUAACAACCUUUGAUUAGACACGAAGUUGAAGAUUUUCAUUAAAAGAUAAAAUUAGAUUCAUUGUGAGUUAUGACAAAAGCGAUGACGUCUUUUACUCAAACAAAACAAG
Molecule: RNA transcript, 3273 nt
Organism: Brassica rapa (field mustard)
Lineage: Eukaryota; Viridiplantae; Streptophyta; Magnoliopsida; Brassicales; Brassicaceae
Gene name: DNA (cytosine-5)-methyltransferase DRM1
Source: RefSeq, a predicted model, not a curated record